GAUAUGAGGCCUUUGCCUAAAUUGGAUGCAAACACCAUAGAAAUCUUCAAGGGGUAAGCAAACUGUGAAUUGCUUUUGUUCAAAUGUACCUCUCUGUCUUAAUUGAUAUUAUUGUCCAAUCUGUAGGCUCAUAUCUGAAAUUGAAAGUAUCUUCUCAGAGAAAGCACAUAAACUCCACUGAAGGCGUAUGUUAAGAGCUUCUUGCUUCCACACUCUUCUUUUUCUUGUCUCAAGAUUUUGAAUGGUGAAGAUGUAGAUAUAGAGGAAACGGUUCGUCAAGCUCCAAUAUCCAAAUCCCAGAACCACCAUUCAGAUUCAUUCUACUCAUCACCACAAACAAAUAGGAAUAUUCCUACUUUCCUAGCAUAGCUGCACAAGAUGAAAUUGGAUUGCUUAUGUUGCAGCAUUACUUGUGGGUGAGGAUCGAACACAAUCUUGUAUAGCUUAUGAAAUUGGAAGGCUUUGUUCAAUGGCAUGUUUAAAUGCUUAUAAAGAUGUAUAUGGUGAAUCGAUUUGGAGUUUGAUGUAUCACAUUUACUUUUAGCAUUAAUAUAAAAUU
Rosa chinensis is the source of this 559-nucleotide long non-coding RNA. RefSeq lists it as uncharacterized. Lineage: Eukaryota; Viridiplantae; Streptophyta; Magnoliopsida; Rosales; Rosaceae. The record is from RefSeq and is a predicted model, not a curated record. The transcript is spliced from 3 exons.